GACGAACGCUGGCGGCGUGCUUAACACAUGCAAGUCGAACGAAGUGGCGAACGGGUGAGUAACGCGUCAUCAACCUGCCCUUCAGAGGGGGACAACAGUUGGAAACGACUGCUAAUACCUCAUACUGAAGGUGGGGAUUGCGUCUGAUUAGCUGGUUGGAGGGGUAACGGCCCACCAAGGCGAUGAUCAGUAGCCGGUGUGAGGGGGUGGACGGGCAAAUUGGGAAGGGAGAACGGCCCAGGACCCUAAGGGGGGCAGCAGUGGGGAAACUUCGGAAAUGGACGAAAGGCUGACGGAGCAACGCCGCGGGAGGGAUGACGGCCUUCGGGUUGUAAAGCUCUGUUAAGCGGGACGCGGUACCGGAAGAGAAAGCCACGGCUAACUACGUGCCAGCAGCCGCGGUAAUAC
This 408-nucleotide ribosomal RNA is filed under the name uncultured bacterium. RNAcentral's name for it is "partial 16S ribosomal RNA". It matches the Rfam family "Bacterial small subunit ribosomal RNA", at positions 28 to 526 of the family's 1533-position model. The record is from RNAcentral.